CCUACGGGAGGCAGCAGUCGAGAAUCAUUCACAAUGGGGGAAACCCUGAUGGCGCGACGCCGCGUGGGGGAAUGAAGGUCUUCGGAUUGUAAACCCCUGUCAUGUGGGAGCAAAUUAAAAAGAUAGUACCACAAGAGGAAGAGACGGCUAACUCUGUGCCAGCAGCCGCGGUAAUACAGAGGUCUCAAGCGUUGUUCGGAAUCACUGGGCGUAAAGCGUGCGUAGGCUGUUUCGUAAGUCGUGUGUGAAAGGCGCGGGCUCAACCCGCGGACGGCACAUGAUACUGCGAGACUAGAGUACUGGAGGGGGAACCGGAAUUCUCGGUGUAGCAGUGAAAUGCGUAGAUAUCGAGAGGAACACUCGUGGCGAAGGCGGGUUCCUGGACAUUAACUGACGCUGAGGCACGAAGGCCAGGGGAGCGAAAGGGAUUAGAUACCCCAGUAGUC
Molecule: ribosomal RNA, 446 nt
Filed under: uncultured bacterium
Lineage: Bacteria
Description: partial 16S ribosomal RNA
Rfam family: Bacterial small subunit ribosomal RNA
Source: RNAcentral